RNAcentral lists this ribosomal RNA (422 nucleotides) under uncultured organism. Its description in RNAcentral is "bacterial SSU rRNA". It matches the Rfam family "Bacterial small subunit ribosomal RNA", at positions 355 to 775 of the family's 1533-position model. The record is from RNAcentral.
UAGGGAAUAUUGGGCAAUGGGCGGUAGCCUGACCCAGCCAUGCCGCGUGCAGGAAGACGGCGUUCUGCGUUGUAAACUGCUUUUACACGGGAAGAAAAGGCCCAUGCGUGGGACAUUGCCGGUACCGUGUGAAUAAGCACCGGCUAACUCCGUGCCAGCAGCCGCGGUAAUACGGAGGGUGCGAGCGUUGUCCGGAUUUAUUGGGUUUAAAGGGUGCGCAGGCGGCCCCUUAAGUCGGCGGUGAAAGUUUGCGGCUCAACCGCAAAACCGCCGUUGAUACUGGGGGGCUUGAGUUCCGGCGGGGUACAUGGAAUUUAUGGUGUAGCGGUGAAAUGCAUAGAUACCAUAAGGAACACCGAUAGCGGAGGCAUUGUACUUGCCGGCGACUGACGCUGAGGCACGAAAGCGCGGGUAGCGAACAG